Molecule: non-coding RNA, 70 nt
Filed under: human gut metagenome
Also listed under: 1 other name
Source: RNAcentral
ACGGGGGUGCUUUUUGCUGAGAUUAUACCCUUUGACCUGAUAUAGAUAAUGCUAUCGAAGGGAAGUCUUU